Anneissia japonica is the source of this 913-nucleotide long non-coding RNA. RefSeq lists it as uncharacterized. The record is from RefSeq and is a predicted model, not a curated record. NCBI's taxonomy places the organism in Eukaryota, Metazoa, Echinodermata, Crinoidea, Comatulida, Comatulidae. The transcript is spliced from 6 exons.
GGAAUCUAUAGUGAGUAGAAACAGGGACUCGCUGGUUUCAGAUGAACCAAUUAAAAGCCAGCAAGUUGAGCAGAGUACCCAGUCCACAUAUGACAGCAUGAAUGAUGAGUCUGAUCUCAAUAGCGCCCUCUAUGAUAGUGUCAGGAAUGCAGUUGAAGCAUUGAAUAGUAACAGUAAAGAGAAUUGCUAUGAAGGAGACAAUUGAGGCAGAUUUUAUGCCACCAAAUCCUCCUAGUAGCCUUCAACAAGACAGAAGCCCUAGUGGGUCACAGGCUUAGCGAUGAAGCCACAGACACACCCGAAGCUCACUAUUCAACAUCAAUGAUGAAAGAUACGACCAGCAUUGGAAGAGCUGCAGUCCUGUGAUGAUCCAAAUGGGCAACAGUUGGCUGGCGGUAAAUGACAUUUAGUCUUUAAGUGGACAGAUGAAAAAUUUGAAAAAGUCAACUACUGCCGCUAUAGUCAUUUGAAAGGAAUUACUAUGAAGAAGAUGAGACAAUUUAUGCCACUAAAUCCACCCAGCAGCCCUCAGCAAGGCAGAAACCCUUGGGGGUCACACAUAGGCUUAGCCUAGUGAGCCUUGGACACCCGCGCAUAGUGGUUCCAGGAUUUCCAAGUUCAAAUAUCUUAUUGAUUUCUACUUGUAUGUUAAUAUGAAAGAAAUGGUCUUCAAUGGAGAAUUUGGUUACUGGAAACCAAAAAGAACAAUUGGAGACAGAUGCUCAGUAUUCAACGUCAAUAAUGCAAGACCACGACCAUCAUCAGAAGAGCAGCAGUCCUGUAAUGAUCCAAAUGGGCAACAAUUGGCUGACUUGGGGUCAUGACCUCCACUACAUAACUAAAAAAGACUAAUCAAAUGAAGCUUAUUCACACACUGUGUUGGAAGCAAUGUUUACAAGGGCGCCCUCAGUCA